Long non-coding RNA from Ixodes scapularis (black-legged tick), 417 nucleotides. RefSeq lists it as uncharacterized. Lineage: Eukaryota; Metazoa; Arthropoda; Arachnida; Ixodida; Ixodidae. The record is from RefSeq and is a predicted model, not a curated record. The transcript is spliced from 3 exons.
CGACCCUUGCAGGUGAUGUCGGCCUGUAGUGAUUCAGGCGUCACCGUGUUUCCUUGGCCCAGGAGUGAAAGAGUUCACCUCUUUCUUUCCAAUGGAGCGCAGCACGACAGUCUGCGUCGGAUGUGAGGUGUUGCACCCAGGAGUGGCCAUUCUUCAAAGUCUAUAUCUUCAGCAUUCCGCAGGCCGGGCUGUUCCAUCCCGUGUUUUGUAGAUGAGCCGCCAUUACUCCCCGACGUGCUGUCUUGGGGCGUUCCUUGCGAGGGCCAGCCGCCAUCUUGUGCCGGCAGGUGGGCCGGAGUGGAAUGGUCGCCAUCUUGGAUUUGCCGGUGACCUUGAGUAGGCAUCGUGUCGUUUUGUCCAGGCGCUGAUCUAGGAGAGCGGGACCUUUCAUUUCUGCUUCUCGAUGAACAUCGCAGU